ACCUUGGUAGCUUACAAUUUAUAGAGCAUAGCACUGAAGAUGCUAAGGCGGGCCUCAGAGCCCCCAGGGUA
RNAcentral lists this transfer RNA (71 nucleotides) under Lunella aff. cinerea STW-2013. RNAcentral's name for it is "tRNA-Phe". Lineage: Eukaryota; Metazoa; Mollusca; Gastropoda; Trochida; Turbinidae. The record is from RNAcentral.